Long non-coding RNA from Lates calcarifer (barramundi perch), 2542 nucleotides. RefSeq lists it as uncharacterized. The transcript has 2 exons. The record is from RefSeq and is a predicted model, not a curated record. NCBI's taxonomy places the organism in Eukaryota, Metazoa, Chordata, Actinopteri, Centropomidae.
CAUAAUAGCAUCAAAUGCAAUGAUCACAUGUUUUAGUGCCGUGGUAGUGAUCAUAAAUGUCUUGUUGCUUGUGAAGAGAGUCUUAAAGCUGGAAGGCAAAGGAUACACAAACACAUGAUGUAAAAUGUAAAACCACUUUUUAAUUUAUCUCAAUGAAAACAAAAACAAAACAGAAAAAAACUAUGUUGUAAGGUAGAAUAACUGAUAGCAGUAUGUGUACUGUAUCACCAGCAACAAGAAGAUGAUAGUUGGUGCAUUUAGUAAUCAAGCCAAAAUAUUCAAAGUACAGUCAUUAACAGAAAAAGGCUCUCAAAUUGCCUUAAAAACCAUAGACAAUAUACAGUGAUGUAGAAUCCCUAUACAGAGAAAAAACAAUUUCAGAUUUCAUUUCAGGUAUUAGUCAUAAUAGACGUCCUAUUGGGGCAGAAACAGUGAUGUAAUAUUAGGUACAAUUAGUAUUUUGACAAGAAAAAUAUCAGAGCUCAAACAUUAAAGGCUCCACUUUGAUUUGUCACAAAAAUAAUUGUCAACACCUGUUUCACAGAUAAGCUUAAACCUAGCUUCAGGCAUACUGGUCUGAUAAAACAGAAGACCCAGGUUCAGUUUCAAAAUUUGCUGCCAAUUAUAAUUUAGUUCACAAAAACAUUCUUGAUGCAUCCAAGACUCUCUUACUCUUUCCUCCCUGUUCUCUUCAACAACAUUUCAUCAAAGAAAUGUCAGUUGUCAGAAUCCUCCUCCUUUCUUUUUUUCUUUUCCUACUCAAAUGAUCUCUUUCUGUAACAGCCUUGUUUCCGCUCUAAGGUCAGACCAAAGUAAAGCAUGAUGUUAGUGUUUUCUCUGCUUAGAACUGAACACCCACACUCCAGCAAAGGAAUGGAAAGUGCAUAAAACAUGAGGAACGAGUUUGUGCCCACCAUAGGACUACCUCAGGGCAAGUUGCAUAUGAUCAGCUACACUGAUGAAGGCCUAGGAUACGCCCAAACAUUUCUUCCUAACAAGUGAGCACUCAGGCUGAAAAUAGCACUACAUUAAAAAAGCACAAGGGUCUGUUUGGUGUGGGCAUGUUGCUACAGUGAGAAGAUGCCGUACUCUAUGCUAAUUUCAAAGUCCAUCAGACUGCUGCAUUUGUUUUUUGAUGCAGUGCUCUUGUCUUUUGGGACACAGCCUGAAGUGGUCCAGCAAAAAUUCAUCUGCGUGGCUUCUUGAAAUGUGUGGUUCUAGAAGUUUGGUGAUUAUGUGCAGGGCUGGUUGACGAACUAUUGAAAUAACUUGCACUAGCCAGCUUAAGACACAUUAGCUUGCCAGGAACAUGCUAGAACUAGUCAGGCACAAUGGUUUAUUGAAAAGAUGUGGCAUUAUCUCCUGUCUGGUAUAUUGCAGUGGUGGGCUGUCAGGGCCAGCAAGACCUGCUGUUAGAGCAUUUAUCCAAUCAGAUUUCAGCUCUGUGUUGCCAGGUUUAAGGCCUUCAGAAUCAGUGCAGGCCACUGUAAUUUAAAAUGAAUGACGAUGAAACUGUUGCCUCGCGGAUCCUUUAACCAAUCAGAUUUUGAGUUGGUGAGAUCAGGGGCCAUCUAGCUGGCGUACCAUGACAUCGUCAUUUCCAUGUCAUUUGAUUGGACGGUCAGAAAAUGUACUGGUCAGAGCUAGCAAACCACAUCUAUAGCUACUAGCACAAGCUAACACGUUAGCAUAGAUUUAAUAGCUGUUUUUUCAACCCACAACGGCUGAAGGAGGAAGAAGAGUUCAGUGACUGUUGUAGAGGUUAUCUGUGCGUCUCAGUUCCAACAAUAAGUCCUUUUCUAUCUAUGGAGGCUAACGCUGAAAGACGAGUCUGCUCAGUCAUAUUUCUCACAUAGUUCUAAUUCACCUUAUGUCUGCUCGACAGAGGCAGUUUUUUAUUAUGUGUCUACAAAUAAUCGGUGAGUAAAAUCCAUUUUACCUGUAUUUUAUUGUUAGUCUUUGUCAUUGUAUUAGUUAAUAUUGAUAUUUCUGCUGGAGAUGAUGGUGUUUGGAGACCUAUUCAACUGUGUUCAUUGGGUUUUUAGGGCAUUUUUUUAGUAAUGCCAUUUAUUCUGGCUACAUGACAUGUCUGUCUGUGAUGCAUAGUUCUGUUGUACUGUGUUUCUGUAUAUUGUUGAUGGUUUCUAUAGCUGUGCUCGGCCUGCCACUGUUAUAAUGUAUAUACUGUGUGUGUUUGCAUACCUACCUAAAAUUAAGGCAAUCAGUCCUGCAAUAAAUUUUACCUUCAUGAGGGUUAUCCUGUCUAGUUUUUAUUUUUUUUAAUUGGUGUGAUUGGGUUCUACAUUUUGUAUUAAAUCUUAAUUCAUUUGCUGGAGAGUGGGUUAAAUGCAGCUUUGAGAUCAAAAUUUUAUAUGUCUUCCUGUUAACUAUGAGCUUUAAUACCCUAAUGUUAACUCACUUCACCUACUACAAUACCAAUAAGCCCAACCAGUCUCCUAUCAGUUACAAUAGCACAGCACCAUUCAUGUUUGCCAUCACUAACACUGCCCACACUGCAACUCAAGCUGUCAUUUCCCCUACU